RNAcentral lists this small nuclear RNA (104 nucleotides) under Panthera leo (lion). Lineage: Eukaryota; Metazoa; Chordata; Mammalia; Carnivora; Felidae. The record is from RNAcentral.
GUAUUUGCUUUAGCAACACAUAUAUUAAAAUUGGGACAAUACAGAGAUUUGCAUGGCCCCUGUGCAAGUAUGACAUGCAAAUUGGUGAAGUGUUCCAUAUUAAA